GAUGGACGCUGGCGGCGUGCCUAAAACAUGCAAGUCGAGCGAACAGAUAAGGAGCUUGCUCCUUUGACGUUAGCGGCGGACGGGUGAGUAACACGUGGGUAACCUACCUAUAAGACUGGAAUAACUCCGGGAAACCGGGGCUAAUGCCGGAUAACAUUUAGAACCGCAUGGUUCUAAAGUGAAAGAUGGUUUUGCUAUCACUUAUAGAUGGACCCGCGCCGUAUUAGCUAGUUGGUAAGGUAACGGCUUACCAAGGCAACGAUACGUAGCCGACCUGAGAGGGUGAUCGGCCACACUGGAACUGAGACACGGUCCAGACUCCUACGGGAGGCAGCAGUAGGGAAUCUUCCGCAAUGGGCGAAAGCCUGACGGAGCAACGCCGCGUGAGUGAUGAAGGUCUUCGGAUCGUAAAACUCUGUUAUUAGGGAAGAACAAAUGUGUAAGUAACUGUGCACGUCUUGACGGUACCUAAUCAGAAAGCCACGGCUAACUACGUG
Molecule: ribosomal RNA, 497 nt
Filed under: uncultured bacterium
Lineage: Bacteria
Description: partial 16S ribosomal RNA
Rfam family: Bacterial small subunit ribosomal RNA
Source: RNAcentral